This 482-nucleotide ribosomal RNA is filed under the name uncultured bacterium. Its description in RNAcentral is "partial 16S ribosomal RNA". It matches the Rfam family "Bacterial small subunit ribosomal RNA", at positions 30 to 507 of the family's 1533-position model. The record is from RNAcentral.
AUUGAACGCUGGCGGCAUGCUUUACACAUGCCAGUCGAACGGUAACAGGCCGCAAGGUGCUGACGAGUGGCGAACGGGUGAGUAAUGCAUCGGAACGUGCCCAGUCGUGGGGGAUAACUACUCGAAAGAGUAGCUAAUACCGCAUACGAUCUAUGGAUGAAAGCGGGGGACCGUAAGGCCUCGCGCGAUUGGAGCGGCCGAUGUCAGAUUAGGUAGUUGGUGGGGUAAAGGCUCACCAAGCCAACGAUCUGUAGCUGGUCUGAGAGGACAACCAGCCACACUGGGACUGAGACACGGCCCAGACUCCUACGGGAGGCAGCAGUGGGGAAUUUUGGACAAUGGGCGCAAGCCUGAUCCAGCAAUGCCGCGUGCAGGAAGAAGGCCUUCAGGUUGUAAACUGCUUUUGUACGGAACGAAACGGCUCUGGUUAAUACCCGGGGCUAAUGACGGUACCGUAAGAAUAAGCACCGGCUAACUACGUG